RNAcentral lists this ribosomal RNA (254 nucleotides) under uncultured bacterium. RNAcentral's name for it is "partial 16S ribosomal RNA". It matches the Rfam family "Bacterial small subunit ribosomal RNA", at positions 524 to 776 of the family's 1533-position model. The record is from RNAcentral.
CACGUAGGGUGCGAGCGUUGUCCGGAAUUAUUGGGCGUAAAGAGCUCGUAGGCGGUGUGUCGCGUCGGCCGUGAAAACCUGUGGCUUAACCAUGGGCUUGCGGUCGAUACGGGCAUCACUGGAGUUCGGCAGGGGAGACUGGAAUUCCUGGUGUAGCGGUGAAAUGCGCAGAUAUCCGGAAGAACACCUAUGGCGAAGGCAGCUCUCUGGGACGGUACUGACGCUGAGACGCGAAAGCGUGGGGAGCGAACAGG